Acanthosepion pharaonis is the source of this 107-nucleotide non-coding RNA. The record is from the annotation of a GenBank genome assembly. NCBI's taxonomy places the organism in Eukaryota, Metazoa, Mollusca, Cephalopoda, Sepiida, Sepiidae.
AUGGCCAAAUCACAUUGGAACAUUGGCUUUCAUAUGAUCACCAAAGUUAAGCAAUGUCAUACCUGGUCAGUACUAAGAUGGGUGACCAUUUGGGAAUACCAGGUGCC